GUGCUUGCUUCGGCAGCACAUAUACAAAAAAAUUUGAAUGAUACAGAGUAGAUUAGCAUAGGCCCUGUGCAAGGAUGACAUGCAAAUUCAUGAAAUGUUCCAUAGUUUU
Small nuclear RNA from Pipistrellus kuhlii (Kuhl's pipistrelle), 109 nucleotides. Lineage: Eukaryota; Metazoa; Chordata; Mammalia; Chiroptera; Vespertilionidae. The record is from RefSeq and is a predicted model, not a curated record.